This 350-nucleotide ribosomal RNA is filed under the name uncultured bacterium. RNAcentral describes it as "bacterial SSU rRNA". It matches the Rfam family "Bacterial small subunit ribosomal RNA", at positions 917 to 1269 of the family's 1533-position model. The record is from RNAcentral.
GGGCCCGCACAAGCAGCGGAGCGUGUUGCUUAAUUCGAUGCAACGCGAAGAACCUUACCAGGGUUUGACAUCCUGCGAAUCUCUUGGAAACGAGAGAGUGCCUUCGGGAACGCAGUGACAGGUGGUGCAUGGCUGUCGUCAGCUCGUGUCGUGAGAUGUUGGUUAAGUCCCGCAACGAGCGCAACCCACGUCGUUAGUUGCCAGCAUUUAGUUGGGCACUCUAGCGAGACCGCCGGUGAUAAACCGGAGGAAGGUGUGGAUGACGUCAAGUCAUCAUGCCCCUUACAUCCUGGGCUACACACGUACUACAAUGCUACGGACAAAGGGCAGCAAACUCGCGAGAGCUAGCA